Sapajus apella (tufted capuchin) is the source of this 521-nucleotide long non-coding RNA. RefSeq lists it as uncharacterized. NCBI's taxonomy places the organism in Eukaryota, Metazoa, Chordata, Mammalia, Primates, Cebidae. The transcript is spliced from 3 exons. The record is from RefSeq and is a predicted model, not a curated record.
GAGUAGCGAGCUGGGAGCCGGCGGGCGGGGGCUGCUGCAGACAGGCGCGGGAGCCGGCGCAGCGGCAAGUGCAGGUCGGACGCACGGACCGGGCCCAUUUCCCUUUCACCGACAGGUUGCUAGGUUGCCCUUCUGUGAGCUCUUCAGGGGACUUCUCCUUUGCUGGAUUUGGCAUCACUGGCCCCAGAGAAGGAGCAACUCCAUGGAAACGGCAUGCAGGGCUGUCCAAAGUGAAUGACCAUGAAGGCAGUGGCUGGAAAACUGCUCCACUUUUCUCUGGCUUAGAGAGCAGAUUUAGCAGUGAGAACUUCUCACUGAACGCCACAGAAAUUAAAGACACAGUUGUUGGAGUUAUGAUGUCAGAGAGCAUUUGCCACCAAGGUUGGCAGUAAAUGGCUGUUCCAGGAGAGCUGAAGAUGAAUUUCCACAUCUGCAGAUCUGGAUUUGUUUGGACAGUACUCGACUUGUGGAGUCAAGUAAGUGCGAACACAGGGUCUGCAUAAUAAAAGGAAAAAGAUGCA